CUGGCUUUAGUCCCUUGGUCUGGACCUCUGUGGGUUCCCAGCUCUGUAAGUCCAACAGUACUGAUACUCUCUUGUCUUCUCUCUGGUCUUAUGACUGAUUUAUGUAGCUUAAACACAAACAUGACGUUUUCUGAAGAACAGUAUGGAAAUACAUUUCUGUAAACAUAUUCCAUAUUUUUUACAACUGCAGCAGACUUAUUACCUUACCCUUGCUGGGAGGAUGUUAGUGAGAGAGCUGGCAGUGUUAAACACACAGGUAACCAUGCAGAUUAUUGGACAAAGCUCAUUUUAUCUAACAGGAAGGAUUACCUUCAGUAUCCACUAUAGUAGUGAAAUACUUUGCUGUCUGUUCCCUCAUUUUCUCCCAGAUGUUCAUGAUGGAUCAGCCUGUUCUCAUCUGUUUCACUCCUGUUGGGAGGAUGGUGUGGGAGGAACUGUCUUCUCAAACUGAACAGCCAAAUAGUGAAGACUCUGGUUUUCCCUAUGAGAAGAUGCAGCUGGUUGGGAACUGGGGUUCAUUUCAUUUCCAUACCUGGAUAAUCCGUUAUGGACGAGUGCAGCAAAAUGAAGAGGACAUGCAUCACCUGUGCAUUGUGAGGGGAGUGGAGAAACAGCUGUGGUGGAGCAGAGUCAUUCAGGAAAAAAUCCUGGACCCAUGGGUGAGAGAUUCUCAACUGAUCUUUCAUCUCAAAUGCACCUGA
Molecule: long non-coding RNA, 701 nt
Filed under: Salmo trutta (river trout)
Lineage: Eukaryota; Metazoa; Chordata; Actinopteri; Salmoniformes; Salmonidae
Description: lncRNA (ENSSTUG00000041212.1)
Source: RNAcentral